GAAAUCGUACCCCAAACCGACACAGGUGGUCAGGUAGAGAAUACCAAGGCGCUUGAGAGAACUCGGGUGAAGGAACUAGGCAAAAUGGUGCCGUAACUUCGGGAGAAGGCACGCUGAUAUGUAGGUGAAGCCCCUGCGGGUGGAGCUGAAAUCAGUCGAAGAUACCAGCUGGCUGCAACUGUUUAUUAAAAACACAGCACUGUGCAAACACGAAAGUGGACGUAUACGGUGUGACGCCUGCCCGGUGCCGGAAG
Molecule: ribosomal RNA, 254 nt
Filed under: Enterobacter cloacae
Lineage: Bacteria; Pseudomonadati; Pseudomonadota; Gammaproteobacteria; Enterobacterales; Enterobacteriaceae
Also listed under: 1 other name
Description: partial 23S ribosomal RNA
Rfam family: Bacterial large subunit ribosomal RNA
Source: RNAcentral